Molecule: ribosomal RNA, 1491 nt
Filed under: Helicobacter pylori GAM244Ai
Lineage: Bacteria; Pseudomonadati; Campylobacterota; Epsilonproteobacteria; Campylobacterales; Helicobacteraceae
Also listed under: 2 other names
Description: bacterial SSU rRNA
Rfam family: Bacterial small subunit ribosomal RNA
Source: RNAcentral
AGAGUUUGAUCCUGGCUCAGAGUGAACGCUGGCGGCGUGCCUAAUACAUGCAAGUCGAACGAUGAAGCUUCUAGCUUGCUAGAAGUGGAUUAGUGGCGCACGGGUGAGUAACGCAUAGGUCAUGUGCCUCUUAGUUUGGGAUAGCCAUUGGAAACGAUGAUUAAUACCAGAUACUCCCUACGGGGGAAAGAUUUAUCGCUAAGAGAUCAGCCUAUGUCCUAUCAGCUUGUUGGUAAGGUAAUGGCUUACCAAGGCUAUGACGGGUAUCCGGCCUGAGAGGGUGAACGGACACACUGGAACUGAGACACGGUCCAGACUCCUACGGGAGGCAGCAGUAGGGAAUAUUGCUCAAUGGGGGAAACCCUGAAGCAGCAACGCCGCGUGGAGGAUGAAGGUUUUAGGAUUGUAAACUCCUUUUGUUAGAGAAGAUAAUGACGGUAUCUAACGAAUAAGCACCGGCUAACUCCGUGCCAGCAGCCGCGGUAAUACGGAGGGUGCAAGCGUUACUCGGAAUCACUGGGCGUAAAGAGCGCGUAGGCGGGAUAGUCAGUCAGGUGUGAAAUCCUAUGGCUUAACCAUAGAACUGCAUUUGAAACUACUAUUCUAGAGUGUGGGAGAGGUAGGUGGAAUUCUUGGUGUAGGGGUAAAAUCCGUAGAGAUCAAGAGGAAUACUCAUUGCGAAGGCGACCUGCUGGAACAUUACUGACGCUGAUUGCGCGAAAGCGUGGGGAGCAAACAGGAUUAGAUACCCUGGUAGUCCACGCCCUAAACGAUGGAUGCUAGUUGUUGGAGGGCUUAGUCUCUCCAGUAAUGCAGCUAACGCAUUAAGCAUCCCGCCUGGGGAGUACGGUCGCAAGAUUAAAACUCAAAGGAAUAGACGGGGACCCGCACAAGCGGUGGAGCAUGUGGUUUAAUUCGAAGAUACACGAAGAACCUUACCUAGGCUUGACAUUGAGAGAAUCCGCUAGAAAUAGUGGAGUGUCUGGCUUGCUAGACCUUGAAAACAGGUGCUGCACGGCUGUCGUCAGCUCGUGUCGUGAGAUGUUGGGUUAAGUCCCGCAACGAGCGCAACCCCCUUUCUUAGUUGCUAACAGGUCAUGCUGAGAACUCUAAGGAUACUGCCUCCGUAAGGAGGAGGAAGGUGGGGACGACGUCAAGUCAUCAUGGCCCUUACGCCUAGGGCUACACACGUGCUACAAUGGGGUGCACAAAGAGAAGCAAUACUGCGAAGUGGAGCCAAUCUUCAAAACGCCUCUCAGUUCGGAUUGUAGGCUGCAACUCGCCUGCAUGAAGCUGGAAUCGCUAGUAAUCGCAAAUCAGCCAUGUUGCGGUGAAUACGUUCCCGGGUCUUGUACUCACCGCCCGUCACACCAUGGGAGUUGUGUUUGCCUUAAGUCAGGAUGCUAAAUUGGCUACUGCCCACGGCACACACAGCGACUGGGGUGAAGUCGUAACAAGGUAACCGUAGGUGAACCUGCGGUUGGAUCACCU